UCAUGGGUCUUUUUAAAGACCAAAACAUAAAUAUAUAUAUAUUAUCU
This is a non-coding RNA of Capsicum annuum, 47 nucleotides long. NCBI's taxonomy places the organism in Eukaryota, Viridiplantae, Streptophyta, Magnoliopsida, Solanales, Solanaceae. The record is from Rfam.